This 944-nucleotide long non-coding RNA is filed under the name Marmota monax (woodchuck). The record is from RNAcentral. Lineage: Eukaryota; Metazoa; Chordata; Mammalia; Rodentia; Sciuridae.
CUAGUACUAAAAACCUGAGAAGCAGUUACUUAUACCCACUAAGAGCAACUAUUUUUAAUUGUUGGGGGUAAUUCUUAAUUUUUUGAACAGGAUGCCCGUAGCUAUUGAUUGAUUUAUUAAUUUUAAACAUUUCCUACCACCCAUGUUUCUUCUACAUUCUCCCUUUUGAAUUAAAUCAUUUUAAAAGUUUGUUAACAUUUUAUUGCAGUACAUAUGCCAAAAAGUUCAUAAAUUUGAGCUCAGUGAAUUUUUAAGAAAAUGUACUUUUUGAGAAGGUAAGUUAUAAAUAACCACCCCUCCAGCUCCCUUUGUAUCUUUCCAAUUCUUAGCCCCCAACUUCUGUCACAUAAACUAGUUUUGCCUGGUUUUGUAUUUGAUGUAUAUUAGAUAGCCUUUCACUUAUGAUUUUGUCCUUUCAGUGUUUCGAGACUGAGCCAUUGUGACAGUAGUUCCUUUGUUUAUUGCUGUGUAGUAUUUAAACACAUGAAUAGGCCCUUACUUUUCAUUCAGCCAUUACCAUUUUUGGUUUGGAGCUAUUAAGAACAGUCUUUGUAAACAUUUUAAAUGUCUGGGCACAUGUAUCAUUUUUGGAAUGGAAUAUGCUCAUCUUUGUUGUAUACUGCUCAAGUUGUUCUUUUAUACUCCAUGAGAAGUGUAGAAGAACUCCAGUUUUCCCAGCCCUUGCUAAUUCCUUGAUAUUGUCAGUGUUUUGUUUAGACUUAUGUGUCUUUAGUCACCAAGUUAAUCAUUGUGGAUUCAUUUUGUAUUUUCCCAAUGACUAUUGAAAUGGAACUCAUUUCAUGUUUAUUAGCUGUCUAGAUAUCAUCUUCUUUGAAGUGCCUGUUUAGUCUUUGGGCCCUCUUUCUAGAAUGUCCUGUUUAUUCAGAGAUUCUGUAUAUAUUCUGAGUAUGAGUCCUUAUUAGUAUUUAAGUGUUAUAUCAAAG